RNAcentral lists this unclassified non-coding RNA (427 nucleotides) under Hevea brasiliensis (rubber tree). The record is from RNAcentral. Lineage: Eukaryota; Viridiplantae; Streptophyta; Magnoliopsida; Malpighiales; Euphorbiaceae.
AACCCUCCCAGCUAUAAGAGAUUGGGAUAUUGAGAGCUCUACCCAUCAUCCCCUCCCUAGAGAUCACUGUUGAAGGCUGUGCUUAGCGGCUUCUUGAGGCCCAGUAGCUAGCUGGUUUUGAAGAUCUAGAUUGUAAUCUGGAAGUUUGUGGGCUUAUGUAGCUGUGCAAGCUUUUCUCUUCUUUCCCAGUUUGUUGAACCAGUUCUAUCACCUUGAAAGAUCGUCGAUGAUGCAAGGAUUCUGGUAUUCGGUUUUGUUUUCCAAGGUGUUUGUUUUCUGGGUUUAGGGAAUAUUGUAAUGGGCUGGUAUUUUGGGUUUCAAAGCGAUCUAUUUUCUGCACAUUAAAUUGUAAUAUUUGUCCAUUAGGCCUUGUAAUGCAAAAGCUGCGAUUCAAAAUAAUAAUAAUAAUAAGGGAGGUGCGUUGGUG